RNAcentral lists this ribosomal RNA (54 nucleotides) under Neodevriesia coryneliae. RNAcentral describes it as "partial 28S ribsomal RNA". Lineage: Eukaryota; Fungi; Ascomycota; Dothideomycetes; Mycosphaerellales; Neodevriesiaceae. The record is from RNAcentral.
GUUGACCUCGGAUCAGGUAGGGAUACCCGCUGAAGAUAAGCAUAUCAAUAAGCG